UGGGGAAUAUUGGACAAUGGGCGAAAGCCUGAUCCAGCCAUGCCGCGUGUGUGAAGAAGGUCUUCGGAUUGUAAAGCACUUUAAGUUGGGAGGAAGGGCAUUAACCUAAUACGUUAGUGUUUUGACGUUACCGACAGAAUAAGCACCGGCUAACUCUGUGCCAGCAGACGCGGUAAUACAGAGGGUGCAAACGUUAAUCGGAAUUACUGGGCGUAAAGCGCGCGUAGGUGGUUUGUUAAGUUGGAUGUGAAAGCCCCGGGCUCAACCUGGGAACUGCAUCCAAAACUGGCAAGCUAGAGUACGGUAGAGGGUGGUGGAAUUUCCUGUGUAGCGGUGAAAUGCGUAGAUAUAGGAAGGAACACCAGUGGCGAAGGCGACCACCUGGACUGAUACUGACACUGAGGUGCGAAAGCGUGGGGAGCAAACA
This 427-nucleotide ribosomal RNA is filed under the name uncultured bacterium. Its description in RNAcentral is "partial 16S ribosomal RNA". It matches the Rfam family "Bacterial small subunit ribosomal RNA", at positions 355 to 774 of the family's 1533-position model. The record is from RNAcentral.